GCUCUGCAGAUGGCUCAGUUUGUAGAGCAUGAGACUCUUAGUCUCAGGGUUGUGGGUUCCAGCCCCACAAGGAGCA
Non-coding RNA from Podarcis lilfordi (Lilford's wall lizard), 76 nucleotides. The record is from the annotation of a GenBank genome assembly. NCBI's taxonomy places the organism in Eukaryota, Metazoa, Chordata, Lepidosauria, Squamata, Lacertidae.